CCUGUAACCAGACUCACAGGACUGAGUGGGACAGAGAGAUAUUCCCUGCACACCGGAGAGGGGGCUCACGCUGGCUCUGAUGCUGUGGGCAAAGCAGCGAGCUCGCUGCCUACCCCUCCGGGACAGCAAGGGCAGAACUGAGCAGGGUGGGAGCUGAGACCCCAACUGAGGGGGGACGACGACACACAGACAGGACAGGGGAUCUGGUGGGAG
Long non-coding RNA from Chelonia mydas (Green sea turtle), 213 nucleotides. RefSeq lists it as uncharacterized. The transcript has 3 exons. The record is from RefSeq and is a predicted model, not a curated record. NCBI's taxonomy places the organism in Eukaryota, Metazoa, Chordata, Testudines, Cheloniidae.